This 497-nucleotide ribosomal RNA is filed under the name uncultured bacterium. RNAcentral describes it as "partial 16S ribosomal RNA". It matches the Rfam family "Bacterial small subunit ribosomal RNA", at positions 28 to 507 of the family's 1533-position model. The record is from RNAcentral.
GAUGAACGCUGGCGGCGUGCCUAAUACAUGCAAGUCGAGCGAACAGACGAGGAGCUUGCUCCUCUGAUGUUAGCGGCGGACGGGUGAGUAACACGUGGAUAACCUACCUAUAAGACUGGGAUAACUUCGGGAAACCGGAGCUAAUACCGGAUAACAUGUUGAACCGCAUGGUUCAACAGUGAAAGACGGUCUUGCUGUCACUUAUAGAUGGAUCCGCGCCGCAUUAUCUAGUUGGUAAGGUAACGGCUUAACAAGGCAACGAUGCGUAGACGACCUGAGAGGGUGAUCGGCCAGACUGGAACUGAGACACGGUACAGACUCCUACGGGAGGCAGCAGAAGGGAAUAUUACGCAAUGGGCGAAAGCAUGACGGAGCAACGCCGCGUGAGUGAAGAAGGUCUUCGGAUCGUAAAACUCUGUUAUUAGGGAAGAACAAAUGUGUAAGUAACUAUGCACGUCUUGACGGUAACUAAUCAGAAAGCCACGGCUAACUACGUG